Molecule: long non-coding RNA, 583 nt
Filed under: Phasianus colchicus (ring-necked pheasant)
Lineage: Eukaryota; Metazoa; Chordata; Aves; Galliformes; Phasianidae
Description: lncRNA (ENSPCLG00000010063.1)
Source: RNAcentral
UGGAGAUGCUAGAAAAUUCAUGACUGCCGGAAAGCUUCCCGCUUCCAGAAGGGAAAGGACAGAUAACAAUCAGUUUCUGGCUGUUGGUCUCAGCUUUGGAGUCUGCUGUAGACAGGAACAUUUGUCUGCAUAACCCAAUGAUUUCAGAUGUCUAUUGCAUGGGUAAUUGGAGGAGAUGGAGACAAAGUAAAAAGCUGUCAGAACCGAGGAUGACUUGGGAAGACUUCUAUCAAAAGGGAAAACAAUGUUUUCAGGUAACUAUCAGUCUAUGAACAAGCUAAUCCUGGGUUCGUUCUACUUCAGCUGUUGAGUAUGUAUGUUGUGUAUGAUGCUUGAAAUAGUCUAAUUCAAACCUGCCAGAAAUGGUCACCAAAAUUGUAGAUAGUAUAUGGAGACAGGUUUUCUUUCUUUACAUCACACUUUUGAUUUCAUCAUUACCCUUUUGAUAUAACUGAUGGCUACAGCUGUGCAGAUACAACACACUUUUUAAAGAAAAUUCUAUUUUAUAACACCGAAUCCACAGCCACAGUUCACAGCAAAAGAUCGCAUUUCUUACAAAAAAUAAAAAUUAAAAAAAUCCCCA